AGCGAGGAAGGGGGCGGGGGGAGGACUGUGUGAGUGUGUGUACUGCGUAUUCACUCAGCCUCAUGCAGUAGGCACUACGGGCAGGCUACGCCGCUUGCAUAGCUGAGGUUGAAAACAGCAGUAUCCCUCCAGCACGAAAGGGGGAAAGCGACUCAGGCUGGCAGGAUUCCGGAGUGGAUUCCCCGGUGGGGUCUCCUCUAGGCUGGAGAGAGAGAAGAGGUAGAAUCCCUUCCACCCUCCCCAAUCCACGCCUUGUAAAUUGUAACAUGAACCCUCCUUCGCUUUCCAGCCCGCUGCUCCCGCCCCCUCCCAGAACCCAGCCUUGCUGGCGGCGCGCGGCCUCACUUCGCUAGCGCUAUAACGAGCUCAAGGAAGCCCCUUUCGUCCCUCGGGCAGCGAGUCCACCAGGGAAAGGGCCAGCCCGCCAUGGUAGCUAACUCCAUGCAGAUCAGUCCAACACCCUAAACCCUCGUCCCUGGCUCCCGCAACUGAUGGACGCCCCCUCUGCAGUGUUUCCUUUCCCCGGGUCAGAACCAUACCAACUCGACCUCCCCCCACUGUCUCCGACCUUCACAGUUCCUUUGCUUCUUUAAACUAUUUUGAGCCGCUCUGCAAGAAAGCGGCAAGAACCACCGGCUUGCGGGAGAAAAGGGGCAGCGGAGGUAGCCCAACCUCCAGGGCUGUCCAUCUUUCCCUCCCACCGGCAUAGGAGGCGGGGUGGAGACUAGAGAUGCAACUCCAUGUUUGCAAAGGGAAUCAGGUUCAAUCAGUUGGGAGAGGACAGCUCGAUGGAUCGAGAACAGGAGAAAGGCGGCUGCUCCGGUUUGGGUCGUAAAGUGGGCUUCGUGCACGGCAGGUAGCAAGCGUUGGGUAACUGAACGUUCGCGCGUCAACAGGGGUUCGGCGCUAGAACGUUCACCCGGUACCUGGCUACUUUGCGUUCGGAAAUGGAACGCUACGGCGGCUGCUAGAGGCCCCACUCCAUUCAGCGGGGCUCCGGCGAGGAUUGUUUUGGUGUGAAUUUAAAAAUAAUCACACAGCUGCCGGUUUAGAGAGAGAGAAACUAGAGCUGCAGUCCGCGCCCCCCUGCCGGCGGCUGCCUCUUGGCAGAUCCAUUCACACGCCUCCGCCCAACAAGUUUCACGUAAAGAAGCACAAAUCUACGGGUUCCGAUUCCGCCCUCUCUGCUAGUAAGACAUCCGGCCUUGGGAUUUGUAAACUAGAUCCACGCUCCGGCAGCGCCUGCAAAACCCUGCACCGAGCCUAGCUGCAAAAGCCACCCCCCGCACCCCAAAAUCUACUCAGUAAACUCCUAAACCUCCUCUCGGGACCUUAACCCGCAGCGCAGCUUUGUUUUUGCCAAGCAAAAUAAGGGGCGGGGGGAAGUGAAGUGUCCCUGCUCCUCCUCUUCUCCCCGAAACUGCAUGGAUCCCAGCGCGAUGUUAAACAAACACAACCAGCACGCAUAUCACCCGGCCAAAUGCCUGCUCUUCCUCGGAUCUCCGUGCAGGGACGGGGAGGGAGAGCGAGGGUAAAGCAAAACCCAGGGAAAAACUGCUUUUAAUUUCUCCCCGCUUUCUCAACGGACCCGACUGCUCACUCCCUCUCCCCCCAUUAACAACAGCUCCGCCUACCACCCCUUUUCUCUCCUCUGGUUCUGGCCCGAUUUGAAACGGGUGACCUUAACUACCACCCCACCCCCCCCCGGCCCAAAAUAUUGGGGACUAAAUUGAAAGCAGCUGUUACAUACCCUCAAAGCCCAGGCGAGGAGUCCUGAAUGGAUGGGAACACCCUCCAAACGGGAUUGGCCUCUAGCUGAAACUCGUCACUUCAAUCCCACCCACCAGGGGAGGGACGGCUGGAUCCAAACCUGCAACCCAGGACACGCCCUCCCCUCUUCCCCAAAACACGCAGGGCAGGGCUUUGUGCAAAAGUGGAGUUAGGCUGCUGAUCAGCCAUUUAUGUACAUCAAACUUAGGGCUGCACGUCGGGGACUGAAGUGAGCUCUCACACGCUGGGGCUUGCAUUAGCUUCGGUUUCCAUCUGCCUAGCUGCACUUGAAGUACUUUCUGAACCUACUUGUUACAGUGUUAGGAGCACAAAAGCAAAGUUGUGCUGAACGCCACAGAGCCAGUCCUAAGGCCAUGGGAGCGAUGCGGUUGUGCUAAGACGCCCCCCUUGGCAGCCCAACUCCAGGGCAGGGAACACAGCAGCAGCACCGUGGAGCAGAGCGGAAUCAGCGGAGCUGCGUGAUGCAUAUUUCCAGCAGCCUUAGAGUGGGGUCACCGUCUGAGUCCGGGAGAAAGGGCACUGUGCUGCCACGCCGUCGCUUGUGUCUAUACAUUCAACAGUGCCAGUCCCGCUGCUGACAGGGAGAGAGGUGUGUGUCUGCCACGAGGGAGGCAAAAGGAUGCAUUUCAUGGCGGGAAGGAUUAUAGCCAUGAAAGGUCUUUUUUAGCGCAAGGAAAGCCCAAUCCUACAGCAGUUGUAGUCAGCAGGUCUGCAAUGUGCAAACAGCUGCAUGGCAACUGCUGCGUUACCUCUGGCAUCACAACAAUCAGCUGUUCAGCGCUGUCUCGCAAUCAGAGGGCUAGAUCCUGCCUUUGGCUGCCAGGGCCAGUUACUAGGGGCAAAGCACGACAGGAACAUUUUCUCCCCAUCACCAGCAAGGCAGAAUUCCUACAAGAGGGAGUGGCUGAUUGGCAAGUUACUGAUAAGAACUGCUGGAAAGGGGGCAUGGCCAAGAGCCCAUCUGGUAAGCACACACGCUGGUGUCACAUGCUAGCCAGAAGUGCACACUGCUCGUUUUAAAGAGAAGACAAAGCGCAGGAGUGUGUGACCUGCCCUGGCAGGACGGGUCCUGUAACCACUGCAUAACCAGCCCUGCCCUGUGGCCUCCUGCCCUCACCAACAAGGGCAGCUGGCAAGGAGAAAACCCCGUUUCACUCCCAUUCUGCACAGACACCUUAUGAAAAUCAGCAGGCAGGAGGGAUCAAUCAGCACAGGUGCUCUCGUAAAGACGACGUUUCCUUGCUCCCAUGCAUUGUAUGGAGAGAAAGAACCAUCUAGCUCACCGGCAACCUUUCCAGAAGCAGGGGCUAAAGGGAGCCGGGGUCAGCCAAGUGGGAGCAAAGAGAAGAAGGGGGAAAUAGAUUGGCUUUGACGGGGUGCCCAUCAAGCCAUGGUAUGCGGCAGGAGGCUCUCAGGAGGUGUUUGGUAAAAUUCUUGAAAUGAAUUGGAAGGAAGGUGAGGGUGAUUUCCCUGCCUCUGACAUUUUGCCCCGUCCCUGUCCAUCUUCUCUGCAGCACGUGCACCUGGGACGCAGGGCUUAUUACUGGCUAGGAAAGCCCAUUGUUGGGCCCUGGGUUAAGAUAUUGGCAGUCAGUCACUGCCAUGACACCUCUGGAUUUCUGGCUAACGUCCUGUGGUCUGAACACUGCAUGGAAAGCGCUAAGGCCCAACAUGACUCUGUAUCUUACAGACACCUCCAGUCACUCAUGCUUCACUCUUGUGCUGAUCACAAUGUGAUCAGAACAGAUCUCUCGCUAGCCACUUAGCUCGCAGGCACCCAUCUAAUUUCCUCUCUAGGGGCCUUAUUCUGCCUUUAGCUACCAUUGCACGUGCAGCUCCCACUGGCCUUAUGGGGAAUGGUGCUUCUAUACAGAAGGGAAGAAAAUGGCCCAGAUGUUCAAAGUGUGCAUGCUUCUGUCCAUGUGCAAUCCUUAGUGCACAAACACAAGGGAUUUGCACACACCAGUGUGGGCACUCACUCCAUGUGCAUUGCACAGGAACAAGUCAAACCCAAGCAAAAUGGUUGUGCACUUCUGAAAAUCUGGGCCUCCAGCCCAGCCUGUAGCCCAGUUCCUAUCCCCGGGGGGCGAAAAUAGCUUUCAUCCAAAUAACUACUGUGCACCUGCCACAGGCUACCUUCAUACGACAUGCUUUUCCCUGUGCGUGUCAGAUCUCUUAAUCAGUCACCAUUCUGCUUCCACUUCCUAUGUCCCCAACCUCUCUGCUCCCCUUUGAUCACCUCUAAAGGCCAGUUUGGAGAUGUGCACCACUGGCAGAGACUACAAAAGCAGCUGCGGCAACUACAGGAAGGAGUGGCUAUAAAUCCAGAGAGCAUCGUAAAGAAGGGCUGCGUCUACGCUGAACUUUUUCUUCAGAUCUCCCCGGGGGCCACCUCUGCCAGUGGCAGCCCCAGAGCAGACCAGCUGCCCACACCCCAGCCUUUCUCCGAGGAGCCUAGUCAACAUGGUGGUGAAACAACAAGGGAUGCUUUGUGCUACAGUUCCCGCUGUUGCUAUGAGGCACAGGG
Long non-coding RNA from Mauremys reevesii (Reeves's turtle), 4318 nucleotides. RefSeq lists it as uncharacterized. The transcript has 3 exons. Lineage: Eukaryota; Metazoa; Chordata; Testudines; Geoemydidae. The record is from RefSeq and is a predicted model, not a curated record.